CAUGGAAUGUAUUGUUAUGUACAGAUUUAAAAAAAAGCACCAUGGAAUGUAUUGUUAUGUACAGAUAAAUAAGGACACAGAACAACAUGGAGGUGCUGGAACAUAGGAAAUCAACUACAGCAAAAAAUUGACAUAAACCUAAUAAAUGUCUAUAUUUAUAAGAAGAAGAAUGCUAGUGACUAAAAUGAAAUCAAUUAUGAACAAGACUCGAAUUUUAGGUAUUAAACAAAUGCAGAAAUCAUGUAUUUGAUGCUUAGAGGUGUUGGAGGACAAGAACUAAAAGCCAAAUAUAUCAGUAUAUUGCUUCCUGUACGAAUCGAAUAAAGCGCCACGGGCUGUACAAUACCAUUUCAACUGGUAACUAAAUAAUUAAUAGGGAGUGCAUGGAUCAGCAAAAACUUGGAAUUUCAUGCUCAUACAUCAAUAGACCUGCCUUAUAUACACCACUGGGUCGGUUUUGUGGAAUUAAAAUUUAUAUUAUGCAAACAUAAAAGGGAGUCCAAAGAUUUGUAAAGGGGUUGCAGUGACCAUUGAUAGCAACAAGUGUUGCUAAUCAAAGUAAAAUAUAAUAAGGGGGCUGGUAAAACAGACUAGGAUUCUAUAUUCAUAGUCAUAUAAUUUUACUGGUAGAAUCUUUUUGAAAAUCACGUCAGAAUAAUCCAAGGCUCCGUCUACCUUGUGUCAUUUGAUUGAAAAAAUGUCCAAUUAACUUGUAAACCUUGAUGAGGACUUGCAUACUGAUACAGGGGGAGUAGAAAACGUCGGUGGCAUAUUCACUAAUUACCUCAAAGAAACGGCUGGACAUGAGAAAAAGAAUGUGACAAUACUGUGAACAGCUGCCAUUAUCAACACAUCACUGGUAAUCAUUUAUGUCGAUGAUCGUAUUGGCUGCCUUAAAUGACACAGUACUUCCGUUCUCUCUCAAGUUAGCCAUAGACAAGUGCUACGUUAACCUACGAAGAAGGAACCAUCACCACCAUCAAAGUUUACAAUUGCCAUUAUCACAUGUUAAGCACUCCCAGAAAACAAAACUACACAGUAUUCUAAGACUAUUGACACUAACUUAAUUGCUACGUGAACAGCAAAAUUCAGCCCGACACCAACUGAAAAUGGCUGAUGUAAAUAAUCUCAUUUUAAACUCCACUUCUAUAAUAAUUAAAAAACAUCAACGCUAACAAUAAAACAAACUACUUACUUGGGAAGCUUCUUAAACAGAUGCAAGCUAAAAUAGAUCCACCACCAAAAUUAGCAAUCUGCAAAGUGAUCCCACCCCUCCACCCCUAACUGUGAAAGCACGAAAGUGAGCUUCGCAUUUGCUUCACCACUUAGAAACCGAACCAGC
This 1342-nucleotide long non-coding RNA is filed under the name Daucus carota (carrot). RNAcentral describes it as "long non-coding RNA (DCAR_LNC001941)". The record is from RNAcentral. Lineage: Eukaryota; Viridiplantae; Streptophyta; Magnoliopsida; Apiales; Apiaceae.